CGUAGGCAUCAAGCGUUGUCCGGAUUUAUUGGGCGUAAAGAGCUCGUAGGCGGCUCAGUUAGUCGGGUGUGAAAACUCAGGGCUUAACCCUGAGACGCCACUCGAUACUGCUGAGCUAGAAUUCGGUAGGGGAGUGGGGAAUUCCUGGUGUAGCGGUGAAAUGCGCAGAUAUCAGGAGGAACACCGGUGGCGAAGGCGCCACUCUGGGCCGACAUUGACGCUGAGGAGCGAAAGCGUGGGUAGCAAACAGGAUUAGAUACCCUGGUAGUCCACGCCGUAAACGGUGGGCACUAGGUGUGGGUUCCAACCAACGGAAUCCGUGCCGUCGCUAACGCAUUAAGUGCCCCGCCUGGGGAGUACGGCCGCAAGGUUA
This 373-nucleotide ribosomal RNA is filed under the name uncultured prokaryote. RNAcentral describes it as "bacterial SSU rRNA". It matches the Rfam family "Bacterial small subunit ribosomal RNA", at positions 526 to 896 of the family's 1533-position model. The record is from RNAcentral.